GACGAACGCUGGCGGCGUGCUUAACACAUGCGAGUCGAACGGAAAGGCCUGCUUUCCCUUGUGGAUUGCGGGUACUCGAGUGGCGAACGGGUGAGUAACACGUGAGUGAUCUGCCCCCAACUUGGGUAUAAGCCUGGGAAACUGGGUCUAAUUCCCGAUAGGACUGCAGGGUGGUGCCUGUGGUGGAAAACGAUUUUCUAGUGGUUGGGGAUGAGCUCGCGGCCUAUCAGCUUGUUGGUGGGGUAAUGGCCUACCAAGGCGGCGACGGGUAGCCGGCCUGAGAAGGUGGACGGCCACAUUGGGACUGAGAUACGGCCCAGACUCCUACGGGAGGCAGCAGUGGGGAAUAUUGCACAAUGGGCGGAAGCCUGGUGCAGCGACGCCGCGUGGGGGAUGACGGCCUUCGGGUUGUAAACUCCUUUCGACCGCGAGGAAGCCACCUGGUUGGAAGGGUGGUGACGGUAGUGGUAGAAGAAGCACCGGCUAACUACGUG
Molecule: ribosomal RNA, 494 nt
Filed under: uncultured bacterium
Lineage: Bacteria
Description: partial 16S ribosomal RNA
Rfam family: Bacterial small subunit ribosomal RNA
Source: RNAcentral